This 492-nucleotide ribosomal RNA is filed under the name uncultured bacterium. RNAcentral describes it as "partial 16S ribosomal RNA". It matches the Rfam family "Bacterial small subunit ribosomal RNA", at positions 29 to 507 of the family's 1533-position model. The record is from RNAcentral.
AGUGAACGCUGGCGGUAGGCCUAACACAUGCAAGUCGAACGGCAGCACAGUAAGAGCUUGCUCUUACGGGUGGCGAGUGGCGGGCGGGUGAGGAAUACAUCGGAAUCUACUUUUUCGUGGGGGAUAACGUAGGGAAACUUACGCUAAUACCGCAUACGACCUACGGGUGAAAGCAGGGGAUCUUCGGACCUUGCGCGAUUGAAUGAGCCGAUGUCGGAUUAGCUAGUUGGCGGGGUAAAGGCCCACCAAGGCGACGAUCCGUAGCUGGUCUGAGAGGAUGAUCAGCCACACUGGAACUGAGACACGGUCCAGACUCCUACGGGAGGCAGCAGUGGGGAAUAUUGGACAAUGGGCGCAAGCCUGAUCCAGCCAUACCGCGUGGGUGAAGAAGGCCUUCGGGUUGUAAAGCCCUUUUGUUGGGAAAGAAAAGCAGCAGGUUAAUACCCCGCUGUUCUGACGGUACCCAAGGAAUAAGCACCGGCUAACUUCGUG